Molecule: ribosomal RNA, 440 nt
Filed under: Acidithiobacillus ferrooxidans
Lineage: Bacteria; Pseudomonadati; Pseudomonadota; Acidithiobacillia; Acidithiobacillales; Acidithiobacillaceae
Description: bacterial SSU rRNA
Rfam family: Bacterial small subunit ribosomal RNA
Source: RNAcentral
UGGGGGCACCCUGAACCNAGCANUGCCGCGUGGAUGAAGAAGGCCUUCGGGUUGUAAAGUCCUUUCGUGGGGGACGAAAAGGCGGGUCCUAAUACGAUCUGCUGUUGACGUGAACCCAAGAAGAAGCACCGGCUAACUCCGUGCCAGCAGCCGCGGUAAUACGGGGGGUGCAAGCGUUAAUCGGAAUCACUGGGCGUAAAGGGUGCGUAGGCGGUACGUUAGGUCUGUCGUGAAAUCCCCGGGCUCAACCUGGGAAUGGCGGUAGAAACCGGCGCACUAGAGUAUGGGAGAGGGUGGUGGAAUUCCAGGUGUAGCGGUGAAAUGCGUAGAGAUCUGGAGGAACAUCAGUGGCGAAGGCGGCCACCUGGCCCAAUACUGACGCUGAGGCACGAAAGCGUGGGGAGCAAACAGGAUUAGAUACCCUGGUAGUCCACGCCCUA